UCGGGAUCUAGAGAGCGGCGCACGGGUGCGGAACACGUGUGCAACCUACCUUUAUCAGGGGGAUAGCCUUUCGAAAGGAAGAUUAAUACCCCAUAAUAUAUUAGAUGGCAUCAUUUGAUAUUGAAAACUCCGGUGGAUAGAGAUGGGCACGCGCAAGAUUAGAUAGUUGGUGAGGUAACGGCUCACCAAGUCAAUGAUCUUUAGGGGGCCUGAGAGGGUGAUCCCCCACACUGGUACUGAGACACGGACCAGACUCCUACGGGAGGCAGCAGUGAGGAAUAUUGGACAAUGGGUGAGAGCCUGAUCCAGCCAUCCCGCGUGAAGGAUGACGGCCCUAUGGGUUGUAAACUUCUUUUGUAUAGGGAUAAACCUACCCUCGUGAGGGUAGCUGAAGGUACUAUACGAAUAAGCACCGGCUAACUCCGUGCCAGCAGCCGCGGUAAUACGGAGGGUGCAAGCGUUAUCCGGAUUUAUUGGGUUUAAAGGGUCCGUAGGCGGACUCGUAAGUCAGUGGUGAAAUCUCAUAGCUUAACUAUGAAACUGCCAUUGAUACUGCGGGUCUUGAGUAAGGUAGAGGUAGCUGGAAUAAGUAGUGUAGCGGUGAAAUGCAUAGAUAUUACUUAGAACACCAAUUGCGAAGGCAGGUUACCAUGUCUUAACUGACGCUGAUGGACGAAAGCGUGGGGAGCGAACAGGAUUAGAUACCCUGGUAGUCCACGCCGUAAACGAUGCUAACUCGUUUUUGGGUUUUCGGAUUCAGAGACUAAGCGAAAGUGAUAAGUUAGCCACCUGGGGAGUACGAACGCAAGUUUGAAACUCAAAGGAAUUGACGGGGCCCGCACAAGCGGUGGAUUAUGUGGUUUAAUUCGAUGAUACGCGAGGAACCUUACCAAGGCUUAAUGGGAAAUGACAGCUUAGAAAUAGCUUUCUCGACAUUUUCAGUGCUGCAUGUGUCGUCAGCUCGUGCGUGAGUGUAGGUAGUCUGCACGAGCGCA
Molecule: ribosomal RNA, 995 nt
Filed under: Chryseobacterium sp. CC-3
Lineage: Bacteria; Pseudomonadati; Bacteroidota; Flavobacteriia; Flavobacteriales; Weeksellaceae
Description: bacterial SSU rRNA
Rfam family: Bacterial small subunit ribosomal RNA
Source: RNAcentral